Molecule: non-coding RNA, 100 nt
Organism: Chelonoidis abingdonii (Abingdon island giant tortoise)
Lineage: Eukaryota; Metazoa; Chordata; Testudines; Testudinidae
Source: RefSeq, a predicted model, not a curated record
CUUACCUCAGCUGCCAACCACAAUGACUUGGCUGUGGCCGUUCAGUUUAUUACCUUCAGUUAUGUGUUAAGUGUUUUAGACUUUAAGCACAAUCAGUAAG